Molecule: transfer RNA, 76 nt
Filed under: Shewanella algae
Lineage: Bacteria; Pseudomonadati; Pseudomonadota; Gammaproteobacteria; Alteromonadales; Shewanellaceae
Also listed under: 1 other name
Description: tRNA-Asn(gtt)
Rfam family: tRNA
About the family: Transfer RNA (tRNA) molecules are approximately 80 nucleotides in length. Their secondary structure includes four short double-helical elements and three loops (D, anti-codon, and T loops). Further hydrogen bonds mediate the characteristic L-shaped molecular structure. tRNAs have two regions of fundamental functional importance: the anti-codon, which is responsible for specific mRNA codon recognition, and the 3' end, to which the tRNAs corresponding amino acid is attached (by aminoacyl-tRNA synthetases). tRNAs cope with the degeneracy of the genetic code in two manners: having more than one tRNA (with a specific anti-codon) for a particular amino acid; and 'wobble' base-pairing, i.e. permitting non-standard base-pairing at the 3rd anti-codon position.
Source: RNAcentral
GGCAGAGUAGCUCAGUGGUCAGAGCGACUGGCUGUUAACCAGUGGGUCGAUGGUUCAAAUCCAUCCUUUGCCGCCA